Molecule: long non-coding RNA, 1072 nt
Filed under: Sinocyclocheilus grahami
Lineage: Eukaryota; Metazoa; Chordata; Actinopteri; Cypriniformes; Cyprinidae
Description: lncRNA (ENSSGRG00000002329.1)
Source: RNAcentral
GGCGUCCUUCUAGGCAGACAUGCUUUUUCUCUGUCCUUGAUAGACGUGGAGUUUGCAGCUGGAAAUUACGUCCCAGCUUUUCUUUUCUUUUCGUUAAUAUGAAGAUACCCCUUACAUCUUAAUGGUAUUGAAGAAAUAAACAUUUUGGAUGGGCAAAAGGAGAAGUAGGAAACACUCCUCUCCUCACAACGCUGAUGCUAACGAGAUGGAACUUGGCCGUGAGUCUGUUAUGGAGCCCCCUUGCCAGGCCGAUUUUCCUAGUCUGCCUGAAACACCAAAAAAAACUGAUUCUCUGGCUAAAAAAAGGAAUCGAGUCGGUGCGAAACCUGAUUCCGAGAAUACUUCGGAAGUGCUUGAAGCUAUCCAUGCACUUGGCUUGAAACUCGACCAAACGCAUUUAAAGGUUUCAGCGAUUGAGAAAACUACUGAGCUCACUUCGGCCAAGGUGGACAGUUUAGCAACUUCUGUGCAACAGCUCAUCGUCGAAGUUAACUCUCACGACGAACAGUUAUCCCUAAUGGAAAAAGAAAUGCAAGCUCUAAAGGCUGAAAACGCGACUUUGAAGUCUAAUAUAGCAGAGGCUCAACGUUACACUCGACGAUGGUCCCUCAAAUUGCAUGGCGUGAAUGAGGCUGAUGGUGAAAAUGUCAGACGGAUAACUAUCGAUGCUCUUGCGAAGGUUGCUCCAGAUGUUCAAGACCAGCUUGCUCGGGUGGUGGACGUAGCUCAUCGUCUUGGUCGUAAUUCAACACCACCAAAUGCUAUUCUUAAGCGACCCAUUGUCAUUCUCUUCUCGAAGCGCCGUUACCGUGAUGAGAUUUGGAGGGCAGCCAAAAACUCCAGAUUUUUACUGGACAACGCUUUACGCAUCUCUGAGUUGAUGUCGCCUGAAGACAAAGCGGCAAGAGAGAAACUGGCCGAGGGUGAAGAAGGCUAGAGAGGAAGGUAAAAGGGCUGUAUUUCGUGGUCCAUAUGCAUACAUCGAGGGGAAAAGGAUUGACACUAAUGACUGAUUGAAUUCCGAUUGAAAAACCAUAAGAGGCAUCUUCGACUUUCCUUAACAUGCCGGGCG